ACAUGUAUUAUAUUUCAAUGCUCAGUCUUCCUCUCCAGUACAUAUAUAUUUUAUAUAUAUGGUUUCUAUCUUUCUUUCCAACUUCAUUAUAUUCUAUUUAUAAUGUAGUAUCCUUAUUUCUGAAUGUUUUCUUCUGAUAUUAAAUUUUCUACAGCUGCAAGAAAGCCUGGAGCAUCACUGGCCAUAAACUCAGUCACCUUCAAUGGAAGUAGCCAGAAUCAAAAAUUUGACAGGCUUCAUUUUUUAAAGAAUUUUAAACAGAAAGAAGCAAGAAAUAAGAAUAAAACAGAGUUUCAAAACAGGCUGGUAGGAGAGUAACAAUAAUCAGCACAAUGUGUAUUGCUAUAUUCACAGAGUUGUUCAGAGUACAAAAUAUGAGCAUGAAACAUUGUCCAGAAAACCGGCGCUCUUUCACCUGGAAAGUUUUUAAAUCUGGUAACUGCUAGUAGGGCAUGCACAGCUCUGCCAGCUUUACUUAUGCACACCAGUCUCCUGCAUGGAAUAAAAUGUCCCAAACUCCACUCAAUUAGAUCAUCAGCUUGUGACACUCAGAACUUUUUCAGUUUUCUAACUUUCGACAAGAAUAUGCAACAUACAAAAGCCUUUCUUCCACAGGAUACAUCAUGCACAUUCUCCAUCUUAACAGAACUUUUCUCCCUUUCUCAUAAACUAAAUCACCUCAAAAUGUACUACUAUGAAGUUACAAGCAUUGAUGUAAAAUGUAAUACAUUUUCAUGUUGUACAAAUGCAAUAGUCUGACACAGAGGGAUUAGAAUAAUGAAUUUUAAAACAUCUAUGCAUGUCAGAUUUUGUGGAUAAUUCAAAGUUCUAUCCAACCAAAUUAUAUGAAUUAAAAGUCUACUAUGCAAAUACUCUCAAAAUAUGGGGUAGUUCAAUAGCGAUUAUCAGCUUCUUUAAUCAUGUCAGACAGUAAUAAAGAAGAAACCCCAUGGGGGAAAUGGUACCAAAAACACAGUAUGUCAAAGACUUUGCUGAUCAUGCCAUAUCAUUUUCAUCUUCUUAAAGGAUAGUUUUGCACUUAAAAUAGCAAAAUUUCAUGGUUAUGGAGGAGAAGUCAACAUAAUUAGUGUUUUACUGCUUAUUACAUGCAAGGAGAGGAUAAAAGUAUUAGCUUUGGACCAGAGACACCUGACAAACACUACCUCAGCCAAAGGAUCCAAGGUGACAUCGGUAUUCAUAAGCCAUGUUGACAUGUAUUGACCGGGUGUGAGGAAUGAAAAUGUCCCUUUCCCUCUGUAGCUCUCCUUCACAUAACCAUAUCCACAGUCUUAUCGCAAGGAAAACACUAGACAGAUUCCAAUAUUGAACAUCCUACAGAAUAUCUGACUAGUGUUCCUCAAAACCGUCAACCUCAUCAAAAGCAAGUCAGAGGCUGUCAUAGCCAAAAGAAGCCUAAAGAGACAACAACUAAAUGUGAUGUGGUAUCCUGGAGGUCAUCUUGGAGGUCAUCUUUGUGCAGAAAAAGAAGAUUAGAGAAAACCUGAAGGAAAAUUUCAAGAAACUACUGAUAUCACUUAAUAAUAAUGCACAAAUAUCAGUUCAUUAAUUUUAGCUAAUGUAUCACACCAAUGGAAGAUAUGGAUCAUAGAAAAUAAAUCUGAAAACUCUCUGUACUAACAUCAAUUUUAGAACUGCUCUAAAAAAUAAAGUCCAUCAAAAAAAUUCUCAAAUUAAUCCACU
This 1701-nucleotide long non-coding RNA is filed under the name Chinchilla lanigera (long-tailed chinchilla). Its description in RNAcentral is "lncRNA (ENSCLAG00000022690.1)". Lineage: Eukaryota; Metazoa; Chordata; Mammalia; Rodentia; Chinchillidae. The record is from RNAcentral.